CCUGUCUUUUGGCUUGUAGGAUUGCCCUUUGUGUUCAUUUUCACGUGAUGUCUCCCAGACCAAACUCCUGGAGGAAAGCAGCUGAGGUCUUGAGCUCCACCCUUCAUGCGUAUCCCCUGCCUGUGGCCUAUUGUCUGUCUCCUUUCAGCACCAACGGCAAAGACAUUUUAUCCUGUCUCUUGAGCUAGAAUUGGCAUGUUUUCUUCUCGAAAUUUUUGCCUUGGCCUAGAAUUUUGGACUCUGUUUAGAAUUCCAAAUUGAAAAUAAGUCAGGAGAUCACUGACAAGCUUAGCUGAGUCGGGCAUGAGGCCAUUUCUGAGGCACGUGGGUCUAUUUCACAAUAAUAUGCCAUUAAUGACAUGGACAAGGUCAUCAAACAUUUUAUGGAUGAAACAGCUUUCUCAAACUGCUCUCACGUCUGACUUCUCCCAGUCGUCUACUCAGAGAGGACAAGCCAACUCCGUCUGUUUAUCCUCCCGGGACCCAGCCAGUGCCGCCAUUCCUAUAACUGCUUCUGAACAUCCCAGAUGGGAGGGCCUGAAAGGGGACCCUUCUCCUCAUCAAAACUGCCCACAGCGUGGCAGAAGCUAUGGUCCAUGGCUGCUCUGGCAAUUCAGAAGAGCCCCUUCAGUGUCCACCUGGAGCAAACUACCCAUAAAAAGGUUCCGAGCCACUCAGAAUCCAGAAUCAGGUUUGUCAAGAUGACGGAGCACCAAGCUUUCAGUGGAGGUUGAGCUCAUUCACGGGAACGGUCACCAAUGAAAUGUCAACAUCAGACCCAAGAGCCAUUUCUCAAGUAUCAUCCAGAAUCAAGCCUUGGGAUGUCAUUUCUAUCAACCCUGGACAUUUUCUGUCUGCAAUUAACAAUGGAUUCAUAGGCCAUAUCUCAUUCCAACCCCUUUAAAGCAGGUUGGACGCUUAGGUUUAUAAACAUUUAGUCAAAAAGGGAUUGUAACCAGGCCUGUAUUCCUGAGCACAAUCCAGGGUGCAGUAUCGUGGACUAACUCAGUAGGGAACAGGUGAGAUGAGAAGGUCUCCAGCCUGGACACUAGUCUUGACCCCCUUGGCCACCAACAAGCUGAAUGGUGCUGCGUUCGGGAUACACACCCCUGUGGGGAGGGGCAUUAUGAUGAGAGCUCUAAGACUCUCAAAUUGUGUGGUUCUGAUCAUUUCUCCCUCAUGAUAAAACUGUGGAAAGCAUACUGAAUUCCUUCUCUUUGGGAGGUUUGAGCCAGGCUGCUGUUGAACAUCACAAGUCAGAUUUUUCCUAUACAGUGUUGGCAUGGGGACGCGCCAGAACUGCCGAGGCCAAGGAAAUCCUGUAGUUUGAAGAAGUUUUAGUUUGUUAUCAUCUCUUUCUAGUAGUAAAAGAAAAAAGAUGUUAAAAAUCUCGUCAAUAUCCUGGAGGGUUUUCGUAUAAAUAUUUCAACACAAUAAGAAUAUAUAAACUGGAUAUAUAUUUUUUACACAUUUUACUUAAUUUUAUAUAAUGGUUGCUUAAGGUG
Molecule: long non-coding RNA, 1505 nt
Filed under: Equus caballus (horse)
Lineage: Eukaryota; Metazoa; Chordata; Mammalia; Perissodactyla; Equidae
Description: lncRNA (ENSECAG00000050422.1)
Source: RNAcentral